RNAcentral lists this transfer RNA (68 nucleotides) under Ictidomys tridecemlineatus (thirteen-lined ground squirrel). RNAcentral describes it as "Spermophilus tridecemlineatus (thirteen-lined ground squirrel) tRNA". It matches the Rfam family "tRNA". Rfam says of the family: Transfer RNA (tRNA) molecules are approximately 80 nucleotides in length. Their secondary structure includes four short double-helical elements and three loops (D, anti-codon, and T loops). The record is from Rfam by way of RNAcentral. Lineage: Eukaryota; Metazoa; Chordata; Mammalia; Rodentia; Sciuridae.
GUGGUGGCUCAGUGGUAGAGCGCUUGCCUAGCAUGUGUGAGGCCCUGGGUUCGAUUCUCAGCACCACA